This 565-nucleotide ribosomal RNA is filed under the name uncultured bacterium. Its description in RNAcentral is "bacterial SSU rRNA". It matches the Rfam family "Bacterial small subunit ribosomal RNA", at positions 337 to 916 of the family's 1533-position model. The record is from RNAcentral.
UCCUACGGGAGGCAGCAGUGGGGAAUUUUCCGCAAUGGGCGAAAGCCUGACGGAGCAACGCCGCGUGAGGGAUGAAGGCCUCUGGGCUGUAAACCUCUCUUCUCAAGGAAGAAGAUAUGACGGUACUUGAGGAAUAAGCCACGGCUAAUUCCGUGCCAGCAGCCGCGGUAAUACGGGAGUGGCAAGCGUUAUCCGGAAUUAUUGGGCGAAAAGCGUCCGCAGGCGGCCCUUCAAGUCUGCUGUAAAAACGUGGAGCUUAACUCCAUCAUCGCAGUGGAAACUGUAGGGCUUGAGUUUGGUAGGGGCAGAGGGAAUUCCCGGUGUAGCGGUGAAAUGCGUAGAUAUCGGGAAGAACACCAGUGGCGAAGGCGCUCUGCUGGGCCAUAACUGACGCUCAUGGACGAAAGCCAGGGGAGCGAAAGGGAUUAGAUACCCCUGUAGUCCUGGCCGUAAACGAUGAACACUAGGUGUCGGGGGAAUCGACCCCCUCGGUGUCGUAGCUAACGCGUUAAGUGUUCCGCCUGGGGAGUACGCACGCAAGUGUGAAACUCAAAUGAAUUGACGG